Molecule: ribosomal RNA, 399 nt
Filed under: uncultured Porphyromonadaceae bacterium
Lineage: Bacteria; Pseudomonadati; Bacteroidota; Bacteroidia; Bacteroidales; Porphyromonadaceae
Description: bacterial SSU rRNA
Rfam family: Bacterial small subunit ribosomal RNA
Source: RNAcentral
UGAGGAAUAUUGGUCAAUGGGCGCAGGCCUGAACCAGCCAAGUCGCGUGAGGGAGGACGGUCCUACGGAUUGUAAACCUCUUUUGUCGGGGAGUAACGUGCGGGACGGGUCCCGUAUUGAGAGUACCCGAAGAAAAAGCAUCGGCUAACUCCGUGCCAGCAGCCGCGGUAAUACGGAGGAUGCGAGCGUUAUCCGGAUUUAUUGGGUUUAAAGGGUGCGCAGGCGGACUCGUCAAGUCAGCGGUAAAAAUUCGGGGCUCAACCCCGUCCGGCCGUUGAAACUGAGAGACUGGAGUGCGACAGAGGGAAGCGGAAUGCGAGGUGUAGCGGUGAAAUGCAUAGAUAUCGCGCAGAACUCCGAUUGCGAAGGCAGCUUUCCAUGUCGUAACUGACGCUGAGG